RNAcentral lists this ribosomal RNA (406 nucleotides) under uncultured bacterium. Its description in RNAcentral is "partial 16S ribosomal RNA". It matches the Rfam family "Bacterial small subunit ribosomal RNA", at positions 30 to 526 of the family's 1533-position model. The record is from RNAcentral.
AUUGAACGCUGGCGGCAGGCUUAACACAUGCAAGUCGAACGAGUGGCGGACGGGUGAGUAAUGUGUGGGAAUCUACCUGAUGGAGGGGGAUAACUACUGGAAACGGUAGCUAAUACCGCAUACCAUAGGAUGAGCCCAGAGGGGAUUAGGUAGUAGGUGGGGUAAAGGCUCACCAAGCCGACGAUCCCUAGCUGGUCUGAGAGGAUGACCAGCCAACCUGGGACUGAGACACGGCCCAGACGCCUACGGGAGGCAGCAGUGGGGAAUAUUGCGCAAUGGGAGCAAGCCUGAUGCAGCCAUGCCGCGUGUAUGAAGAAGGUCUUCGGGUUGUAAAGUACUUUAAGUGGGGAGGCGUUACCAGCAGAAGAAGCACCGGCUAACUACGUGCCAGCAGCCGCGGUAAUUC